This 468-nucleotide ribosomal RNA is filed under the name uncultured bacterium. RNAcentral describes it as "partial 16S ribosomal RNA". It matches the Rfam family "Bacterial small subunit ribosomal RNA", at positions 28 to 507 of the family's 1533-position model. The record is from RNAcentral.
GACGAACGCUGGCGGCGUGCUUAACACAUGCAAGUCGAACGGAAAGGCCCUGCUUUUGUGGGGUGCUCGAGUGGCGAACGGGUGAGUAACACGUGAGUAACCUGCCCUUGUCUUUGGGAUAACUUCAGGAGACUGGGGCUAAUACCGGAUAGGAGCUCCUGCUGCAUGGUGGGGGUUGGAAAGUUUCGGCGGUUGUGGAUGGAAUGGCGGCUUAUCAGCUUGUUGGUGGGGUAGUGGCUUACCAAGGCUAUGAAGGGUAGCCGGCCUGGGAGGGUGACCGGCCACAUUGGGACUGAGAUACGGACCAGACUCCUACGGGAGGCAGCAGUGGGGAGUAUUGCACAAUGGGGGGAAGCCUGAUGCAGCAACGCCGCGUGCGGGAUGACGGCCUUCGGGUUGUAAACCGCUGUCGCCGGUGACGAAGCGGGAGUGACGGUAAUGGGUAAAGAAGCACCGGCUAACUACGUG